GACGAACGCUGGCGGCGUGCCUAAUACAUGCAAGUCGAACGAAGCUUUUUUAACUGGUGCUUGCACCGACUUAAACAACUGAGUGGCGAACGGGUGAGUAACACGUGGGUAACCUGCCCCAAAGCGGGGGAUAACAUUUGGAAACAGAUGCUAAUACCGCAUAACCACAGAAACCACAUGGUUUCUGUGUCAAAGAUGGUUUCGGCUAUCACUUUGGGAUGGACCCGCGGCGUAUUAGCUAGUUGGUAAGGUAAUGGCUCACCAAGGCAAUGAGACGAAGCCGAACUGAAGGGUUGAGCGGCCACAUUGGGACUGAGACACGGCCCAAACUCCUCCGGGAGGCAGCAGUAGGGAAUCUUCCACAAUGGACGAAAGUCUGAUGGAGCAACGCCGCGUGAGUGAAGAAGGUUUUCGGAUCGUAAAACUCUGUUGUCAGAGAAGAACGUGUGCGAGAGUAACUGUUCGUGCAGUGACGGUAUCUGGCCAGAAAGCCACGGCUAACUACGUGCCAGCAGCCGCCGUAA
Molecule: ribosomal RNA, 524 nt
Filed under: uncultured bacterium
Lineage: Bacteria
Description: partial 16S ribosomal RNA
Rfam family: Bacterial small subunit ribosomal RNA
Source: RNAcentral